GUUUUCAGCAGGUUCUUCAGUGAAGUCAUUUCUGAAUGUUGUGCUUUAUAGUUGCCUUCAUGCGAUUGGACUGCCAGUCUGAUGUCAUCACUGCUCGGUCACCUCAAGAAGCGAAGGACAUAGAAGAUCGAGGCUUGAAAUCACAGAUGGAGAAAUUU
Thalassophryne amazonica is the source of this 158-nucleotide long non-coding RNA. RefSeq lists it as uncharacterized. Lineage: Eukaryota; Metazoa; Chordata; Actinopteri; Batrachoidiformes; Batrachoididae. The record is from RefSeq and is a predicted model, not a curated record. The transcript has 3 exons.